CCAGUUUGGGUUUUAAUGUUGUGAUCAGUGACCCGAGUUAAGCGGCUAAUGGAGUAACCUUCAAGGAAUGACGUGUGGACACAUAGAAGAGCACUGAUGGGUGAAAAUGAGUUUAUCAUGAAAUGUACAAGGCAUCACCAGAGAAGAAACAGCAAAGAUAUCGAAUAUCCAAAUUUGUCUUACUCUACAUUGGACAGAAUCAUCUGGAUUGCCAAGUAUCUGCAACAAAGGAUCAUUAGGUUAUUAAGAGAAAGUUAUAAUUGGCUAAAAUGUUAUAUGCAUUCACAGUAAGCUGCAAGUCCACAAGCAGUUCUUGCAUUCUUUAUUGUAAGAGAGCACCAUUCCAAACUUCAUAAACAAGUAUGGUAUGUUUCUCUGAUUAUGAACAUUGUGCUAAAAAACAGACAGCAGACAGAAAAAGAUUUGGGUAUGGCCACCCUGUACACUGAAAAAUAGGCAAAAAUAAAGAAAAGACGGCUUUACAACUAGAGUUCGAAAAGGAACUGACCAACAGGAUGAAUCUGGGGUAAAAAUAUGAUGGAUUAGAGGAAGAGGUGGAGUCUGGGAGGCCAGAACAGGAACUGAUGUGACAAGUGGAUGGGUUCUGGGUAACGGAAGCCAGAAAUGAGGUCAUCAGUGGGUGGAGCCGUGGUGAUGUCACUGAGAGGCCCAGUCUUCGGCUGGUCUGCAGAGGGACAAGAGGAGAAAGGAUCACACGUCAGCGCCAACCCCUGGUCUGGCUGAGAAAUAACACUUUGAGCCUGUAAAGUGUCUCCCAUGUGCACGUGUGUGACAACAUGUACAAAUUAUUGGAACAUUUUAGAUAUUUUCAGAAAUGUGUGACAAAACAACCAAGAGAAUGAUAGGAUACAUGUUUUGCAUAUUGAGCAAAAAAUUCCAAUAAAGUCUGGCUGCAGAUAUCAACUCUGAGGCUACAAGCACUGAGAAAUUGGACAUACAAUGAGAGGCUGAGCCUGGACUUGACAUACGACCGGAUUUAGAUGAAAAUACGGGAUAGCUGGUGACGUGUUUCACAGGACCAGGUGUAUUAAGUAAAUGAAUGAUGGCACUUCUUUGUAUCUCAGAUAUCUCAGGUACUCUGAUUUUAUUCAGGUCUUGUCUGUGUUCAUUCUGGAGGGAUCUCCCAUUAAUGUGAUGUCUUUUCAUUCACUGUUUUAUUUUAUUCUACAGUAUAUAUUUUUCAUGCCAGAGUGUUUAAUUUGCACAGGUUGCUGAGUAGAGCAGUUGUUAUUCUGAAUGUUUUUUAAACAUUUUAUGGUAUGUAGCAGACCCUCGAGGACUUAACUUUCAUGGUGUGCUGAUUUUCUAUAAAUAGGUUUUGGUGAAUACUCUUUGUUACUGACUGUCUUUGUACCAGUUGCAAAAAGUUUUGUUUUUGCUGUUCAAAAACUUGGUUAUUGUUUGUUACAAAAAAGAUUUAUCAGUGUACAAUUAGCUUGAGCAUUAUGACAUUUUUAUUGUUGACUUCUGUUCUAUCGUUGAUUCUCAGCGUCACUACUACAUGAAUUCAACAACUGAGACACUGUAUGUCUGCACACUCCAGGCUCCAAUGAUGCCUGAGUCAUUUACUGUUUCUCAGAAUGGCAAGA
Long non-coding RNA from Erpetoichthys calabaricus (reedfish), 1610 nucleotides. RefSeq lists it as uncharacterized. The record is from RefSeq and is a predicted model, not a curated record. The transcript is spliced from 3 exons. Lineage: Eukaryota; Metazoa; Chordata; Cladistia; Polypteriformes; Polypteridae.